GGGGAAGAUUAGAUGUUCGCUGUAAAAAUGCAGAGGAAAGUCCGGACACCAUAGGGCAGGAUACUUCCUAACAGGAAGCUGUAGUGAUGCAGAGAUAGCUCCACAGAAAGUAAACCGCUAUUCAGUUUUUUCUGAAGCAGCAAGGGUGAAACGGCGGUGUAAGAGACCACCGGUAUCUUUGGUAACAGAGAUAGCCAGGAAAGCCUUAUCUGGUGCAAUGCCAAAUAGGAAAGCAAUGAUGUUGCCCGCAUCGCUUUCGGGUAGGCAGCUGGAACUGUUUUGUGAGAAGCAGUCAAGAUGAAUGAACAUCACUUUCAGGAAACUGAAAGCACAGAAUCCGGCUUAUAAUCUUCCCCAUAA
This 360-nucleotide RNase P RNA is filed under the name Candidatus Cloacimonadota bacterium. RNAcentral's name for it is "RNase P RNA component class A". It matches the Rfam family "Bacterial RNase P class A". Rfam says of the family: Ribonuclease P (RNase P) is a ubiquitous endoribonuclease, found in archaea, bacteria and eukarya as well as chloroplasts and mitochondria. The record is from RNAcentral. RNAcentral also lists the same sequence under 1 other name. Lineage: Bacteria; Pseudomonadati; Candidatus Cloacimonadota.